This 422-nucleotide long non-coding RNA is filed under the name Callithrix jacchus (white-tufted-ear marmoset). RNAcentral describes it as "lncRNA (ENSCJAG00000073832.1)". The record is from RNAcentral. Lineage: Eukaryota; Metazoa; Chordata; Mammalia; Primates; Cebidae.
GCUGAUUCUCCCCACCUCCUCAACAUGUACCUCGACGUUAGUUAAAUCUCUUCAUAUCCCUCCUCUCUUUUCUCUAUUUAGGCCAAUGGAGGUGAUACACAUUCACAUGGGGAAGAGCCUGAGGAUAAAGGGGAGCGCAAAAUAUCAUUUGCAAAUUGGUCAAUCAGUCAACUAAUAUCUAUGGACUAUUAAAUCUGAGUGGAACUAUACAUUCGCAAAGACAAAGGAAGCAGCCCAGGCUGACCUGAUGGAGGAUGAAUGGAGUAGAACGGAGACAUCCUGGAACAGCCACCGCCUCGCUGACCUGAUAGACAUCUGCAGAUUCAUCAGUGGGAGCUAAACCUGGAAUACACAUAGACAUAAACGUGGGAACAAUAAACCCUGCAAACUACUAGAAAAGGGAGGAAUGGAAGGAAGAGGAU